Molecule: RNase P RNA, 382 nt
Filed under: Sphingomonas morindae
Lineage: Bacteria; Pseudomonadati; Pseudomonadota; Alphaproteobacteria; Sphingomonadales; Sphingomonadaceae
Description: RNase P RNA component class A
Rfam family: Bacterial RNase P class A
About the family: Ribonuclease P (RNase P) is a ubiquitous endoribonuclease, found in archaea, bacteria and eukarya as well as chloroplasts and mitochondria.
Source: RNAcentral
CCAGAGGGCCGGGCGGCCGCUGCUCGCUUCGGCGGGGAGAGGAAAGUCCGGGCUCCACGGGAAUACGGUGCCGGGUAACGCCCGGCGGGGCGGCGCCCUGGGCGCCGCUUCAGGGACAGUGCCACAGAAAGCAAACCACCGUCGCUUCGGCGCGGCCAGGGCGAAAGGGUGCGGUAAGAGCGCACCGCGUCUCCGGCAACGGGGACGGCACGGCAAACCCCACCGGGAGCAAGACCGAAUAGGGGCCGCACAGGGGGCUGAUCCCGCCCCGCGGCCCGGGUUGGUUGCUUGAGGCCGGGCGCGAGCCCGGUCCUAGAGGAAUGGUCGCCUAUCCGGCGGAAACGCCGGUGGACAGAACCCGGCUUACAGGCCCUCUGGCGCU